GACGAACGCUGGCGGCGUGCCUAAUACAAGCAAGUCGAGCGAAUGACGAGGAGCUUGCUCCUCUGAUUUAGCGGCGGACGGGUGAGUAACACGUGGGUAACCUGCCUGUAAGACGGGGAUAACUCCGGGAAACCGGAGCUGAUACCGGAUGAUAACGAGAAGCGCCUGCUUCUUUUUUGAAAGUCGGUUUCGGCUGACGCUUACAGAUGGGCCCGCGGCGCAUUAGCUAGUCGGUGAGGUAACGGCUCACCAAGGCGACGAUGCGUAGCCGACCUGAGAGGGUGAUCGGCCACACUGGGACUGAGACACGGCCCAGACUCCUACGGGAGGCAGCAGUAGGGAAUCUUCGGCAAUGGACGAAAGUCUGACCGAGCAACGCCGCGUGAGCGAUGAAGGCCUUCGGGUCGUAAAGCUCUGUUGUCAGAGAAGAACAAGUACCGGAGUAACUGCCGGUACCUUGACGGUACCUGACCAGAAAGCCACGGCUAACUACGUGCCAGCCGCCGCAGUAA
Molecule: ribosomal RNA, 512 nt
Filed under: uncultured bacterium
Lineage: Bacteria
Description: partial 16S ribosomal RNA
Rfam family: Bacterial small subunit ribosomal RNA
Source: RNAcentral